Molecule: non-coding RNA, 819 nt
Organism: Aegilops tauschii subsp. strangulata
Lineage: Eukaryota; Viridiplantae; Streptophyta; Magnoliopsida; Poales; Poaceae
Source: RefSeq, a predicted model, not a curated record
AUGACAAGAAAUAACUGUUUAAAAAACUUGGCACAGAAUCGCUUAGGAGCUGCUAAUUCCAUAUCUCUAAGAGUUACACCAUAUGGUUUAGGUUGCUCACCUUGGUGGCUGACUAGGCGUUCAAAAAUCUUAGUGAGAGUAUAAAGGACAUUGUUGAUGGUGCAAUAAUGGAACACAACAAGUUGUGUGUGUGUGUGUUGCACGACCUGGGAGUCUACAUCUAAGAGUUCCUUUCAGUUUUCUAUCAGAAACAUUUCUUUAUAAAAGUUCUGUUGGACACUUAACUUCUCUUUACUUAUCGUUUCGUGGGACUAUGAAAAAGUUCAUCUGUGUGUAACUACAGGGUUCUCGAAGUCCGCCCUCUCAUUGACAGGGUGAAAGUUGUGGAAUUUUUGCUUUAACUGCCUGGAGUAAGAUGACAGGACAUACAAAGAUGCAUUCAAGUUGAAGAUUCAGAGUUGCAAGGCAGGCACAGUUAACAGGGAUAAGAAACUAUAGAAGAUUUAUCAAACCAGAUAUGGGCUUGGUUAUGCACUGAAUCAUUGUGGAGGAUCUCAGGUAAUUAGGCCAUACACCCAAAAUUAAAUUUUACUUGCUUUUAAAUGUUUAGGGGGCAGAUGAUGUUUCAUAUGCUAGACUGAAGUACGCACCUUUUAAGAAUAUCACUGAUACUCCAGUCACCCAUAAAAAUGGAAGUACUGAAAAUUAGUUUGUAAGGAAAAUAACUAAAUAGUGAGUCUGAGCAAACCUACUACCUAGAUUACAUGAGAUCAUUUUAGCUCUAAGAGUUUCUUUUAUCUUUUUUUACAUUCUGGUAAA